UUGGUAUUGUGUAUUUCAUUUUUAUUCCUUCUUGCAACAAUUGUCACCUAUAAAUUGAGAGAGAAACCAUGUGGUAUCUGUGAACUAACAUAAUAUAAUUGAUGUGACAGUUUAAUUUUGAAAUAUGGUGUUUUCUAAGUGGUGCAGGAGAUAAGUUCACUUUUUAUUCAACAUCAUUUUGAUGCAAAUUCUUGGGCUUAGAUCAUA
RNAcentral lists this long non-coding RNA (207 nucleotides) under Mytilus galloprovincialis (Mediterranean mussel). The record is from RNAcentral. Lineage: Eukaryota; Metazoa; Mollusca; Bivalvia; Mytilida; Mytilidae.